This 253-nucleotide ribosomal RNA is filed under the name uncultured bacterium. RNAcentral's name for it is "partial 16S ribosomal RNA". It matches the Rfam family "Bacterial small subunit ribosomal RNA", at positions 524 to 776 of the family's 1533-position model. The record is from RNAcentral.
UACGAAGGGUGCAAACGUUGCUCGGAAUUAUUGGGCGUAAAGCGCACGUAGGCGGCUUUGCAAGUCGGAUGUGAAAUCCCUCGGCUUAACCGAGGAACUGCCGUCCAAACUGCUUCGCUUGAGACCGGGAGAGGUGAGUGGAAUUCCCAGUGUAGCGGUGAAAUGCGUAGAUAUUGGGAGGAACACCAGUGGCGAAGGCGGCUCACUGGACCGGUACUGACGCUGAUGCGCGAAAGCGUGGGGAGCAAACGGG